RNAcentral lists this long non-coding RNA (221 nucleotides) under Spirodela polyrhiza (greater duckweed). Its description in RNAcentral is "long non-coding RNA (SPOL_LNC001349)". Lineage: Eukaryota; Viridiplantae; Streptophyta; Magnoliopsida; Alismatales; Araceae. The record is from RNAcentral.
CCGCGCAAAUUUCCGCCCUACAUUCAACAGGGGAUAUUAAAGGCAAGAAAAAGAUCACAGAAGGUGGUUCAAGCAAUGCACAGUUACCAAAAUCAUCCAGUCCGGAGGAAUAUAACUCCUCCAUGGACAGCAAGCUAGAAGCCCCCAUCUUCAGGGGCGAAGACAUUGAAGGCUGGCUUAGAGGGAUGCAAAAAUAUUUCAAGGUUCACAAGAUUACUCUU